Molecule: long non-coding RNA, 290 nt
Filed under: Nicotiana tabacum (common tobacco)
Lineage: Eukaryota; Viridiplantae; Streptophyta; Magnoliopsida; Solanales; Solanaceae
Description: long non-coding RNA (NTAB_LNC012205)
Source: RNAcentral
AGUUAGCUUCUCGUGCUCUUAAGUGCGUAUUUCUGGGUUUCUCGAGAACACAAAAGGGGUAUCGAUGCUACUCUCCUGACCUCCAGCGGUACCUUAUGUCCGCUGAUGUUACCUUCUUUGAAACCCAAUCAUACUUCACAGGUUCAGGUCAUCACUUAGAUAUUUCUGAGGUACUACCAGUUUCAUCUUUUGGAGAUUCAGUCACUCCAGCUCCACCACCUACAGCUCCAGUUGUAGCUCCACCACCUAUAGCUCUAGUUGUAGCUUUACCACCUAUAGCUCCAGUUCCA